Molecule: ribosomal RNA, 506 nt
Filed under: uncultured bacterium
Lineage: Bacteria
Description: partial 16S ribosomal RNA
Rfam family: Bacterial small subunit ribosomal RNA
Source: RNAcentral
AUUGAACGCUGGCGGCAGGCCUAACACAUGCAAGUCGAACGGUAACAGGAAACAGCUUGCUGUUUCGCUGACGAGUGGCGGACGGGUGAGUAAUGUCUGGGAAACUGCCUGAUGGAGGGGGAUAACUACUGGAAACGGUAGCUAAUACCGCAUAACGUCGCAAGACAAAAGAGGGGGACCUUCGGGCCUCUUGCCAUCGGAUGUGCCCAGAUGGGAUUAGCUAGUAGGUGGGGUAACGGCUCACCUAGGCGACGAUCCCUAGCUGGUCUGAGAGGAUGACCAGCCACACUGGAACUGAGACACGGUCCAGACGCCUACGGGAGGCAGCAGUGGGGAAUAUUGCACAAUGGGCGAAAGCCUGAUGCAGCCAUGCCGCGUGUAUGAAGAAGGCCUUCGGGUUGUAAAGUACUUUCAGCGGGGAGGAAGGGAGUAAAGUUAAUACCUUUGCUCAUUGACGUUACCCGCAGAAGAAGCACCGGCUAACUCCGUGCCAGCCGCCGCAGUAA